Molecule: ribosomal RNA, 253 nt
Filed under: uncultured bacterium
Lineage: Bacteria
Description: partial 16S ribosomal RNA
Rfam family: Bacterial small subunit ribosomal RNA
Source: RNAcentral
AACGUAGGAGACAAACGUUAUCCGGAUUUACUGGGCGUAAAGGGCGUGUAGGUGGUUGUGUAAGUCUGGCGUGAAAUUUUUCGGCUUAACCGGGAAAGGUCGUCGGAUACUGCACAACUAGAGGACGGUAGAGGCGUGUGGAAUUCCGGGUGUAGUGGUGAAAUGCGUAGAGAUCCGGAGGAACGCCAGUGGCGAAGGCGACACGCUGGGCCGUACCUGACACUGAUGCGCGACAGCAUGGGGAGCAAACAGG